GACGGAUUGGCGGCAGCGAGAAGGCAGUGCAGGUGUGCGAGUUACUUUAAGGCUUUGAAAAACCUGGCAAUGAAUUAUUCUGGCUGAGUUCUGUCGCUUAUCAAGCAAAAAUCUGAGUUGCGAUCAGAGUUCUUCAAAGAUCUCGACAAAUAUACUCCUCGCUUCCUGGAGAAGUUCAAAACCCAGAGGGGGAAAGUGUCGGACAGAAACUUGAAUAUCUGCAACAAGUCACACCUGGGAGUACAGAUGUGACUGGGAGGUGAACAGCAGUCCUCCGUGGCUCUCCCGUCAUCCUUGGAGAUGACAACGCAGACUUCUUCAAGAAUUUGACUCUGAUGACCUUCUGGACGUGUCCCACGCCUCCAUUGGGACCCUGACGGUGAUGAAGACAUUGUGGCCUCCUUACUCGCUGGACCUGGAGUCUACAACUACUGCCAUCGUUUUGGGAGGAACAGUCGUGAUGGGUGACCGUGAUCAUCUUCCCCGUGCCGUGUGGCUACUCUUCGGACUUAUUUACCCCUGAAUUUGGAGUAUCCUCAACGAGUGAGGAACACCUUCUGAAUUUAUUCAUAGAGUGCUUCUCACUUGGACCAAAAACCCUAAAAUACAAUCACUCAAAUAUCUACUGAUGCCAUAAGGGACUGUGUUCAUGAUGUGCAGUCAGGCCCGAGAACUUCACCCUUCUAUCUCCAAUUGAACUCUUUUCUAGAAAAUGUCUGUUUUUGUUGUUUUUCUGUCGUGAAAUUUAGCAAAUGCCGAAAACGCUGUGUUCAUCAUAUUUCUGCGUUACAAAACCUAAUCUGGCAACAUGUUCAGCGUUUUAAGCACGUUGUUUGAG
Molecule: long non-coding RNA, 838 nt
Organism: Pseudoliparis swirei
Lineage: Eukaryota; Metazoa; Chordata; Actinopteri; Perciformes; Liparidae
Exons: 5
Source: RefSeq, a predicted model, not a curated record